UCAUUGAUAUGUAAUAUUAUUAUAUGAGUAGUAUGUUAGUAUGAAAUGUGAUUGUAUUGACUUCGUUGGUGGAUUUGAAUAUUUAUAAUAUCCGUGGUACAAAAAUGAUACUCACGACGGCCAAGGGACCGCUGAUAUUACGUCACCUCCCGUGUCCAUCAUCAGAUCAGCUCGAUGGUACCCAAAUAUUGCAUUAUCACUCAACUCGUAGAUUUAUAAGGCUAGAUUCCUAGUCCAUACAUCCCUAGUCAAGCCACUUCAACUGCGGCAUUAUGUCACACUCAUUCAAACGGCCCUCGCAGUACUCAAGGUCGAGUUUUCGUUUUUCUGAAAAUCUAUUUUAAUUUAAAUAAGUGAAGAAAAAAAGUCUUGAAGUCACCCCUAUUUCUUUUAGUUAUAACCUUAUUAAGAUGUAAAAAAAAACAUAAUUUUUCAUUCGUAAACUUCGGAGAUAAGUGGGAGAGGGUGGUAUUUUUUCCUUCAUAAGUUAUUUUUUUUUCACUAUGAAAAAAAAAAAUUGUUUUGUAAUGUUCAAUUUAAGCUUUUCCGAAUGAUAUCCGACUUGUAACUAGACUUUGAUCUUUUGCCCCCUCUUUAUAUUGGGAAUAUUCCAUAAAGAUAAUUAAAAAAAAAUACACUUUCAAUAUGUCUGGCUUAGAUAGCGUUAUUCAUUAUUAUUCCAAAUUUCAAAUCGAUAGCUUAAGUACUUCUUAAGAUAUUUAGCAAUGUAACAGACGGACGGACGGAUGGACAGAGUACGGUAGAGACGGAGGACGCACCAUAAGGGUUCCGUUUGUACCUUUUUGGUACGGAACCCUAACAAUGGUACGAUAAGUCACAGGACUAUCUCAUCUUGUUGCAUAUAGGCAAAGGGGGGAGGUGAGUUGGAUGCGUAGGAUGGAGUAAGCUACUUACCAACUUUUUUUGUAAAAAUGACGUCUCUCGUCGUUGUAACCAGACUGACGGACGGAUUUUAUAUGAAUUUCCGUCGUUGAAAGCGGUCGGUCGUUAUAUGCGAACUCGUACUAACCGGACUCUACUGUAUACCAUUCAUUUUCCUUAAAUGUACUUAGCCAUGCCCCGCAAUUAACGGAGUUUAAAAAAACACCGUCUAGAUGUCAAGAGUUAGACCAAAAUAACUCUGCAGUGAUUCUGAUGGCACAGACUGUGCAAGUGCUAUUAUAAACGUAAUAAUUUCAUACAAGUUUGACGUUUAAUAUAACACUUGCACAGUCCGAGCUAUCAAAACACUACAUAGUUAUCUCGGUCUAAAUCUGUGAAUCUACUUAUAGAGUUUUUAGCGAACCGCGAGUUCUCAGUUCGGGGGUCGGGUUGGGGCGAACUACUGGUUAUACCUAUCUGCAUAACUUAUUUAUUUUUAACAAACUAAAUGUGUUUUACUUAUUUAGACUCCGAGAAUCCUGGACUGGGAUGAAGAAACGCUGUAUGAAUUGGAAAAGAAUACUUACAUCACUAUACAGACUAAGUAUGACUCAAUCGAGUAUGUGAAAAGCAGAUAUAAGAGAAAUACUGCCUUCAUCGUGGGAAGAUUGGCUUACAAAAUACGCAAUAAAUUUUCACAGCAGAUGCAUAUGGUCCAUCGUUGCCGAACAGCCUAUAAAAACAGAUCCAUUCUGGAGCUGAUAAGGAAUGCAACAUCAUGUCAAAGAUUGUACUACGAUAUUCACGUUACGACUGAAUUGGUAAAAACAUACUAUCUAAACUACUCCACUUUUAAACUAGAAGGGGAAAACAUCGAUAUCACAAUAAAAGACACCUUACAUAAUAUUACUGUGGAUAACACUGGUACAUCCACCCCGGACGUACUACGGGAAGUUGACCCUGGAGAUGUCGAAGAUUACGAACGCCGGCGUCAUUUUGCACAAAAAUUACGUUUACCAGGCUUCCACAGUUCAAGAAAUGUACGGAAAUCUCUGAGAUUUUUGGGUAUGGCGGACCACACGCUCCGGCUUCGGCAGCUAGUUAAAAAAAGAAUAAAAUAAUUCUAAAAAUUAAACCCUGAAAUGCAUGUUUUUUUGUGUUUGAUCGAAAUUAAUAUACUUACAUGACA
This is a long non-coding RNA of Cydia pomonella (codling moth), 2071 nucleotides long. RefSeq lists it as uncharacterized. The record is from RefSeq and is a predicted model, not a curated record. NCBI's taxonomy places the organism in Eukaryota, Metazoa, Arthropoda, Insecta, Lepidoptera, Tortricidae. The transcript is spliced from 2 exons.